UAAAUUCUUUGUCUAGGCCAUCCUGCUU
This 28-nucleotide non-coding RNA is filed under the name Mus musculus (house mouse). Lineage: Eukaryota; Metazoa; Chordata; Mammalia; Rodentia; Muridae. The record is from RNAcentral.